AGAGUUUGAUCCUGGCUCAGGAUGAACGCUAGCGACAGGCUUAACACAUGCAAGUCGAGGGGCAGCGGGGUAGGAAGCUUGCUUUCUGCCGCCGGCGACCGGCGCACGGGUGAGUAACACGUAUGCAACCUGGCCGUGACAGAUGGAUAACCGGGAGAAAUCCCGCCUAAUACAACAUAAUGCCGGGAGGGGACAUCCCCUGCCGGCCAAAGGGGGCGACCCCGGUCACGGAUGGGCAUGCGGCGCAUUAGGUAGUUGGUGGGGCAACGGCCCACCAAGCCGACGAUGCGUAGGGGUUCUGAGAGGAAGGUCCCCCACAUUGGAACUGAGACACGGUCCAAACUCCUACGGGAGGCAGCAGUGAGGAAUAUUGGUCAAUGGCCGGAAGGCUGAACCAGCCAAGUCGCGUGAGGGAAUAAGGCCCUACGGGUCGUAAACCUCUUUUGCCAGGGAGCAAUGCCGUCCACGUGUGGACGGAAGGAGAGUACCUGGAGAAAAAGCAUCGGCUAACUCCGUGCCAGCAGCCGCGGUAAUACGGAGGAUGCGAGCGUUAUCCGGAUUUAUUGGGUUUAAAGGGUGCGUAGGCGGCCUGCCAAGUCAGCGGUAAAAUUGCGGGGCUCAACCCCGUACAGCCGUUGAAACUGCCGGGCUCGAGUGGGCGAGAAGUAUGCGGAAUGCGUGGUGUAGCGGUGAAAUGCAUAGAUAUCACGCAGAACCCCGAUUGCGAAGGCAGCAUACCGGCGCCCGACUGACGCUGAGGCACGAAAGUGCGGGGAUCAAACAGGAUUAGAUACCCUGGUAGUCCGCACAGUAAACGAUGAAUG
RNAcentral lists this ribosomal RNA (824 nucleotides) under uncultured bacterium. Its description in RNAcentral is "bacterial SSU rRNA". It matches the Rfam family "Bacterial small subunit ribosomal RNA", at positions 8 to 815 of the family's 1533-position model. The record is from RNAcentral.